AGCUUAGUUGCCAUCAUUAAGUUGGGCACUCUAAGUUGACUGCCGGUGACAAACCGGAGGAAGGUGGGGAUGACGUCAAAUCAUCAUGCCCCUUAUGAUUUGGGCUACACACGUGCUACAAUGGACAAUACAAAGGGCAGCGAAACCGCGAGGUCAAGCAAAUCCCAUAAAGUUGUUCUCAGUUCGGAUUGUAGUCUGCAACUCGACUACAUGAAGCUGGAAUCGCUAGUAAUCGUAGAUCAGCAUGCUACGGUGAAUACGUUCCCGGGUCUUGUACACACCGCCCGUCACACCACGAGAGUUUGUAACACCCGAAGC
This 318-nucleotide ribosomal RNA is filed under the name Staphylococcus aureus. RNAcentral's name for it is "bacterial SSU rRNA". It matches the Rfam family "Bacterial small subunit ribosomal RNA", at positions 1108 to 1427 of the family's 1533-position model. The record is from RNAcentral. Lineage: Bacteria; Bacillati; Bacillota; Bacilli; Caryophanales; Staphylococcaceae.